CCCAGACUCCUACGGGAGGCAGCAGUGAGGAAUAUUGGUCAAUGGCCGGAAGGCUGAACCAGCCAAGUCGCGUGAGGGACGACUGCCCUAUGGGUUGUAAACCUCUUUUAUAAGGGAAGAAUAAAUGCUACGUGUAGCAUGAUGCCUGUACCUUAUGAAUAAGCAUCGGCUAACUCCGUGCCAGCAGCCGCGGUAAUACGGAGGAUGCGAGCGUUAUCCGGAGUGACUGGGUGUAAAGAGUUGCGUAGGUGGCAUAAUAAGUAGCUAGUGAAAUCUGGUGGCUCAACCAUUCAGACUAUUAGCUAAACUGUUAAGCUCGAGACCGUUAGGGGUAACUGGAAUUUCUAGUGUAGGGUUGAAAUCCGUAGAUAUUAGAAGGAACACCAAUAGCGUAGGCAGGUUACUGGGACGGUUCUGACACUAAGGCACGAAAGCGUAGGGAGCAAACAGGAUUAGAUACCCCUGUA
Molecule: ribosomal RNA, 467 nt
Filed under: uncultured bacterium
Lineage: Bacteria
Description: bacterial SSU rRNA
Rfam family: Bacterial small subunit ribosomal RNA
Source: RNAcentral